Molecule: ribosomal RNA, 249 nt
Filed under: Salmonella enterica
Lineage: Bacteria; Pseudomonadati; Pseudomonadota; Gammaproteobacteria; Enterobacterales; Enterobacteriaceae
Also listed under: 2 other names
Description: partial 16S ribosomal RNA
Rfam family: Bacterial small subunit ribosomal RNA
Source: RNAcentral
AAAUUGAAGAGUUUGAUCAUGGCUCAGAUUGAACGCUGGCGGCAGGCCUAACACAUGCAAGUCGAACGGUAACAGGAAGCAGCUUGCUGCUUUGCUGACGAGUGGCGGACGGGUGAGUAAUGUCUGGGAAACUGCCUGAUGGAGGGGGAUAACUACUGGAAACGGUGGCUAAUACCGCAUAACGUCGCAAGACCAAAGAGGGGGACCUUCGGGCCUCUUGCCAUCGGAUGUGCCCAGAUGGGAUUAGCU